Long non-coding RNA from Amaranthus tricolor (Joseph's coat), 1873 nucleotides. RefSeq lists it as uncharacterized. The record is from RefSeq and is a predicted model, not a curated record. The transcript has 4 exons. NCBI's taxonomy places the organism in Eukaryota, Viridiplantae, Streptophyta, Magnoliopsida, Caryophyllales, Amaranthaceae.
CAACAUUCUGUUGGCGCGAAUUCUUCCUUUUAUUUUCAGGAUAAUGCAAUGGCGACCAUGAUUAGUAACUUCUAGCAAAACUCGUCAGAAACCCAAUACAAAGUAGGGAUAUGUUUUACUGAUAAGGGCCCUUGGUUUUUGAACCUAGUGACUUGAAUCAUAUAAGAAGAUGCUGGCAGAAGGCAAUGGAUUAUUGAGGACAGAUUGACAGACGGAUUACAGUCUCUCAGAAAGAUGACCAGAGCGUCCUAUCCACUGCCAUUUUUGGGCCGUCGUGCAAGAGGGGGGUCUUGUUGGCUGUAAAGUUACUUCACAAGAAAACACAUUCCAGACACAACAUUGUUUCACUCGAGCUAAACGUGAACUUUUCAAAAAAUGAGGACCACUUUCAAAAAAUUCAUCCCUGACACUGCCAGCAAUGAAAAUUUUUUAGAGUGUCACCUGGGUGCUGUUGGACGUUAUAUCUCUAACAGAAAUGGCUUUGUUAUGAAGUCCUUAGGACCCUAUUCAGGAUACAUUUGAACACUUAUGUUGCUUCAUUAUAAGGUAAUUUGUAAACAGCUUAUGAAAAAUUUGAUAUACUCUUCAUCUGUAAUUUCUUGGUUAUAUUAUUGAGGGGAGCGUUAGGAUGUAUAUUUCUUUUGAGUAACUUUCUUUUUCUGGUCCUAAAAAACCUAGGCUACUAUUUCUUCUCUUUACUAGACAAGAUGGGGACCCUUGUCUGCUUGUUUUGCUGUUCUAGGUUGUCUUUGAGACUGAAGUUAAGAUUUUCGGGUUCCACUCUUCUUUCUUACACUUUAUCCUUUUUUAUUUUGUGUGUGUAACAAAGAGCUUAAGUGUAGAGAUUCAACUUGUAAGAAAAACAAUCUUGAGGAUCAAAUCUUAAGAUGAAAACUCAGCUCCACACAAAUAGGCUUGUGGAUGUGAAAAUCAGAACCAUGCAUUCCAAUAGAAAUUUUGAUAUUUCUAACCUCUCAUUGUCAGAUAUAUCUGUGCAGUGUUAAGUGUACACAUUCCCGAAAGUCACCUGCAGAAAAUAAACCGAUUUAUGUUAACAUCUUGUUCGCACUCUUAUGCAUUUGUUAUUUGUACUAGCCUGUGGUGUUUGUUUAUAGGGAAGGUUAAGUAUGCAGUCUUGCCCUUAGAAGUUAAGUAGCAGUCUUUAAGAAGACCAUGAUGUACUUUUUAUUAUACCUAAUCCACUUCUAUCAUUGUUUUUUUUUUUAUUUUUUAAAUUUUUUAAAUUUUAGGUUAAUUAAUAUUUAUGAUAUAAAUUCAACAUAAUUUUUUUUAUAAUUGAACAUAAAAUUAAAUGCCAGGAAUAUUCUGAAGGAAACCACAAAUUUAUAGUUCUCAGAUUUAGGAUUGUAAUAGAAUAUAGUAGAAUGGUUUGUUGAAUCAUUUGCACUUCCUAUUUAUGUGAAGUUGAACCAGACAGCAUCACCGCAUCAUGACCAUAUGGUGAAGGUGUCAAAAUAUAGGUCGUAUUAACUGCAAAGUAAGUCGCAUUGACCGCAAAAUACGAUUUAAGACCAUUACCGUAAUUUUUAUGAGUGUGACCGAAAUCAUAUUUUUAAGGGUAAGUUGCAUACAUCUAAUGUUCAAAGCAGGGUCAAAGCCAGGAUUUUGAUUAGGAGGUCCAAAUUGUCGAUAUACUAGCAAAUUAUUUACUAUAUAAAAACUAGUUAAACUAUGAAAAUUUUAAAAUCAUGUAGACUGAAAUGACCUUAAAUUGUAGCUCAAAAUAUAUUUAACAAAUAGAGUGGAAGCUUUUCUAUAAUUAUCCCUUUUGAAAAAAACUAAGUUUUUUUUUUACUCUAUAUAUUUGCCUAGGAAAUCUCCAAAAAAAAACACUACUAAAAUUAAGAUAGUA